Cygnus atratus (black swan) is the source of this 901-nucleotide long non-coding RNA. RefSeq lists it as uncharacterized. NCBI's taxonomy places the organism in Eukaryota, Metazoa, Chordata, Aves, Anseriformes, Anatidae. The transcript has 5 exons. The record is from RefSeq and is a predicted model, not a curated record.
UUUCUCUACCCGAAAUGAUCUAAUUUCCAAACAGUUUGUAAGCCCAUAAGCGACAUAGGGCCCGUGGUCUGCCCCCCGUUGUUAGCGCAAGGUGUUGGGAGCAGCGGGUGUUACGGCGGAAUUUUGUCCUCUUGUGAUGUGCUCCAGUCUUCUCUUAAGGUUCUUUCAGAGCUACUGUAACCUGCCUAGGAAUCCAGUACAAUAGUCCACCAAUCUCAUCUUUACCUGAGAUAUUCUACAGGAGGAACAAUAACUCACAAAGGAUCUGUGAAUAAGGAUGCAGGACAGUUACUUCGCUGGAGUAACUGAUGGAGUAACAUCAGCCAGCAAUAGGGAGAUGCAGAACAUGCAAGAAUUCAGGUUAUCAUGCAGCCCUUCAGUAACAGAAUCAGAAGAAACAUGAGGAGGGAACAGAUGAUGUGCUGACUGACAGGAAAGAGAAAAGCUGAUUAAGAAGGAACCUAAAAUACAGGCCGAUCAAGAAGAGCCCUUCAGGCUAAUUUUCAGCAAGCUUAACUCCCUGAUCUACCUCACCACACAACUACGUUAAGUACCACAGCCAUUGCAAAGGAUGAGCCAGCACUGCUGUGCAGCAGGGGAGAGUGAGACGGCGGCAGCUUCAACUUACAUUGGUUUAAGAUGCUGCAGAUCUAUCCACCAAACUAAACAUCUUUGAUGCAAAAUAUCAUUUUCACUUCAGCACAAGAUGUGUGAAAACUGGAAGUCAUCCAAAGUACAGAUCAACAUCUGACAGCUUUUGAGAGCUCAAGAAAAUCUUUGAUAUUUCUACACUUUGUAUGCAUUCAGCAUUUUUUCUCUCUUUGAAGUUACCAGAAAAGAAAGUAAAAACUUCUUCAACAAAGUAAAAACUUCCUCAACGUGUUAAUAUAAGUUAGGAGUA